This 86-nucleotide transfer RNA is filed under the name Synergistaceae bacterium. RNAcentral's name for it is "tRNA-Tyr". It matches the Rfam family "tRNA". From Rfam's summary of the family: Transfer RNA (tRNA) molecules are approximately 80 nucleotides in length. Their secondary structure includes four short double-helical elements and three loops (D, anti-codon, and T loops). The record is from RNAcentral. Lineage: Bacteria; Thermotogati; Synergistota; Synergistia; Synergistales; Synergistaceae.
GGUGGGGUGGCCGAGCGGUCAAAGGCAACAGACUGUAAAUCUGUCGGGUUUCCCCUACGUAGGUUCGAACCCUACCCCCACCACCA